UACGAAGGGGGCUGGCGUUGCUCGGAAUCACUGGGCGUAAAGCGCACGUAGGCGGCUUUCUAAGUCAGGGGGGAAAUCCUGGAGCUCAACUCCAGAACUGCCUUUGAUACUGGGGAUCUCGAGUCCGGAAGAGGUGAGUGGAACUCCGAGUGUAGAGGUGAAAUUCGUAGAUAUUGGGAGGAACACCAGUGGCGAAGGCGGCUCACUGGACCGGUACUGACGCUGAUGCGCGAAAGCGUGGGGAGCAAACGGG
RNAcentral lists this ribosomal RNA (253 nucleotides) under uncultured bacterium. RNAcentral describes it as "partial 16S ribosomal RNA". It matches the Rfam family "Bacterial small subunit ribosomal RNA", at positions 524 to 776 of the family's 1533-position model. The record is from RNAcentral.